CUUGUACAUCAACUUCUAGUACA
RNAcentral lists this non-coding RNA (23 nucleotides) under Cricetulus griseus (Chinese hamster). Lineage: Eukaryota; Metazoa; Chordata; Mammalia; Rodentia; Cricetidae. The record is from RNAcentral.